GUGGGGAAUUUUGGACAAUGGGCGAAAGCCUGAUCCAGCCAUGCCGCGUGCAGGAUGAAGGCCUUCGGGUUGUAAACUGCUUUUGUACGGAACGAAAAGACUCCUUCUAAUAAAGGGGGUCCAUGACGGUACCGUAAGAAUAAGCACCGGCUAACUACGUGCCAGCAGCCGCGGUAAUACGUAGGGUGCAAGCGUUAAUCGGAAUUACUGGGCGUAAAGCGUGCGCAGGCGGUUAUAUAAGACAGAUGUGAAAUCCCCGGGCUCAACCUGGGAACUGCAUUUGUGACUGUAUAGCUAGAGUACGGCAGAGGGGGAUGGAAUUCCGCGUGUAGCAGUGAAAUGCGUAGAUAUGCGGAGGAACACCGAUGGCGAAGGCAAUCCCCUGGGCCUGUACUGACGCUCAUGCACGAAAGCGUGGGGAGCAAACAGGAUUAGAAACCCUGGUAGUCC
RNAcentral lists this ribosomal RNA (450 nucleotides) under uncultured bacterium. Its description in RNAcentral is "partial 16S ribosomal RNA". It matches the Rfam family "Bacterial small subunit ribosomal RNA", at positions 354 to 796 of the family's 1533-position model. The record is from RNAcentral.